GAGACUUUCUGUAGUUGGAGAGCAGAAAUGAAGACAGCAUCCUCACCUACCUGGGCCAGGUCUCAGUCCAUCCAUGAUUGUGCAGGCAUGACAGUUGACAACAUCUUGAUCCAUGCUGACAGGAGUAUGUGAAGUUGGCUUUUUCAUUACAGCAGACUGGGAAAUGGACAAAGUCGGUGGAAAGCAGGUAUCACCUUCAUAGGUUCACGCCUACUGACUUUCUUCUACUAUCCAGGCUCCAUCUGCUACAGUGUGCACAGUUUCCAGAAAAGCGCCAGACAAGCUGUGGAUCAGGCAUUCAACAUAUGAGCCAAUGGGAGAGCAGUAUGGAUUCCCGGCAUAAUAACUACCGUCUGAAUGGUUGCCCAGGAUAACAACUGAAUGUUGGGAAAAUUUGAAGUUGCCCUUUUUGGGUCAGAGGUAAAGCUGGGGAAUGCGAUUGAAAGUUAUGAAUUCCAAUAGAUUGUUCUGGGUGGUGUUGGUGGUAUAGUGGUGAGUGUAACAGUCUUCCAAAGAGAUGUUUCCAGUUUAUAUUUCUACCUUCUAGUUUUCCUUAGGUAUAAGUUCUCAUUUUCCUAAGACCUUCCAUCAUAUUGAAAAUUUAUUCAUAGCUUAAUGUAUAUUAAAAUAUAUCAAGUUCUUAC
This 644-nucleotide long non-coding RNA is filed under the name Mus musculus (house mouse). RNAcentral describes it as "predicted gene, 40548". The record is from RNAcentral. Lineage: Eukaryota; Metazoa; Chordata; Mammalia; Rodentia; Muridae.